UACGGAGGGGGCUAGCGUUGUCCGGAAUUAUUGGGCGUAAAGCGCGCGCAGGCGGUCCUUUAAGUCUGAUGUGAAAGCCCUCGGCUCAACCGAGGAGGGUCAUUGGAAACUGGAGGACUUGAGUGCAGAAGAGGAAAGCGGAAUUCCAAGUGUAGCGGUGAAAUGCGUAGAGAUUUGGAGGAACACCAGUGGCGAAGGCGGCUUUCUGGUCUGUAACUGACGCUGAGGCGCGAAAGUGUGGGUAGCAAACAGG
Molecule: ribosomal RNA, 253 nt
Filed under: uncultured bacterium
Lineage: Bacteria
Description: partial 16S ribosomal RNA
Rfam family: Bacterial small subunit ribosomal RNA
Source: RNAcentral